ACCUCUGUUGCUUUGGCGGCUCCGGCCGCCAAAGGACCUCCAAACUCCAGUCAGUAAACGCAGACGUCUGAUAAACAAGUUAAUAAACUAAAACUUUCAACAACGGAUCUCUUGGUUCUGGCAUCGAUGAAGAACGCAGCGAAAUGCGAUAAGUAAUGUGAAUUGCAGAAUUCAGUGAAUCAUCGAAUCUUUGAACGCACAUUGCGCCCCUUGGUAUUCCGGGGGGCAUGCCUGUUCGAGCGUCAUUACAACCCUCAAGCUCUGCUUGGAAUUGGGCACCGUCCUCACUGCGGACGCGCCUCAAAGACCUCGGCGGUGGCUGUUCAGCCCUCAAGCGUAGUAGAAUACACCUCGCUUUGGAGUGGUUGGCGUCGCCCGCCGGACGAACCUUCUGAACUUUUCUCAAGGUUGACCUCGGAUCAGGUAGGGAUACCCGCUGAACUUAAGCAUAUCAAUAAGCGGAGGAAAAGAAACCAACAGGGAUUGCCUUAGUAACGGCGAGUGAAGCGGCAACAGCUCAAAUUUGAAAGCUGGCCCUUUUAGGGUCCGCGUUGUAAUUUGUAGAGGAUGAUUCGGCGAGGGCUCCUGCCUAAGUCCCCUGGAACGGGGCGUCAUAGAGGGUGAGAAUCCCGUAUGCGGUAGGUUGCCUUAGCCAUGUGAAUCUCCUUCGACGAGUCGAGUUGUUUGGGAAUGCAGCUCUAAAUGGGAGGUAAAUUUCUUCUAAAGCUAAAUACUGGCCAGAGACCGAUAGCGCACAAGUAGAGUGAUCGAAAGAUGAAAAGCACUUUGGAAAGAGAGUUAAAAAGUACGUGAAAUUGUUGAAAGGGAAGCGCUUGCAACCAGACUUGUCCGCAGUUGCUCAGCCGGUCUCCUGACCGGCGUACUCUUCUGCGGCCAGGCCAGCAUCAGUUCGGGCGGUCGGAUAAAGGCCUCGGGAAUGU
This 941-nucleotide ribosomal RNA is filed under the name fungal sp. Its description in RNAcentral is "eukaryotic LSU rRNA". The stretch from base 410 to 941 matches the Rfam family "Eukaryotic large subunit ribosomal RNA", at positions 1 to 537 of the family's 3401-position model. The record is from RNAcentral. Lineage: Eukaryota; Fungi.